UACGGGGGGAGCAAGCGUUGUUCGGAUUUACUGGGCGUAAAGGGCGCGUAGGCGACCAGCGCAAGUCAGUUGUGAAAUCUCCGGGCUUAACUCGGAACGGUCAACUGAUACUGCGCGGCUAGAGUGCAGAAGGGGCAACUGGAAUUCUCGGUGUAGCGGUGAAAUGCGUAGAUAUCGAGAGGAACACCUGCGGCGAAGGCGGGUUGCUGGGCUGACACUGACGCUGAUGCGCGAAAGCCAGGGGAGCGAACGGG
RNAcentral lists this ribosomal RNA (254 nucleotides) under uncultured bacterium. Its description in RNAcentral is "partial 16S ribosomal RNA". It matches the Rfam family "Bacterial small subunit ribosomal RNA", at positions 524 to 776 of the family's 1533-position model. The record is from RNAcentral.